Pezoporus flaviventris is the source of this 3916-nucleotide long non-coding RNA. RefSeq lists it as uncharacterized. NCBI's taxonomy places the organism in Eukaryota, Metazoa, Chordata, Aves, Psittaciformes, Psittacidae. The record is from RefSeq and is a predicted model, not a curated record. The transcript has 4 exons.
GCCCAGAGAGUUGGUGGAUGCGCCAUCCCUGGAGAUACUCAAGGCUGGAUGUGGUCCUGAGCAGUCUGAUCUCCUUGAAGUUGCUCAUUGCAGAGGGUUUGACUCGAUGCCCGUUGAAGGUCCCUUCCAACCCAAACUAUUCCAUGAUUCUGUGAAGGGCAAAAUCCCAGCCCUGUCUGUUCAUACACCAGCACCUUUCCUUGCUGUUCUUUCCCAUAGCUGCUUACUAGCAGAAGAGGGCCAUUUGUUUGCUAUCUGAUAAGGAGCCUGGUUUUUUUUCUCUUUCUAAGCCUAAUCUGUGUUUGAACCUGUUGGUGUGGAAGGAGAGACGACGACUUCAAAUUACAGUAUCAGCAUUUUCUUUAAUGCCUGUGUUGCCAACCUCCCGCUGUCUGUGUUAGAGCUGGUUUAAUAGUUAACACACACCACUGGAAGCCGGUGUUCCUGUGCUCGGCAUAAAUUUCCUCUGGGAGUUUGGACAUGUCUCCUAAUGACAGCCCCUGUUGUCCUGCCUGUAAAAGGAGUAGUGCUGCAGACAAGCAGAAAUUCAUUCAUAUUCUGUGAACUACUUAAGAGAUCCUCCAGAAAAAGAGCUCAUGCAAAUAUAUAUGCAUAUAAUCAGAUGCCCUUUCAGCUGAAAUGAUCCUAAAAAUGAUAAAUAAUAAAUCCCUGUGGCAAAUUUACAAGUAAUUAUAGAAACUGGUAACUGAGCAAAAUGAUGGAGCGAAAUAUGCCCAGUACAGUUGAGGUGGGCACAGGAUUUUGCUCUUUUGGAAAUGCAAGGUACCUGGACUAAAAGGGGUGGGAUAAGAUGGGUCCCUACGUAGUGGGGUUGUUGGUAAGGGUGCAGGAAGGCACCUGAGCUCCUUAAGCAUUCCUUCCCAGUAUUUACUGAGGAGCUGCAAUGUGUUCCUGUCAGAUGAUCCUCAUUUCAUUCUAACAAUAACUCGAGAGGAUGUUCAACAGUGACUGCUAAAAUUAGAUGCCUGGAAAUCAGGGCUGAAUAAUUGUUGUGGAAGAGCUGGUAUGGGGAUUCUGCAUCCAGGAGACAGGGAGAGGCUUUGAAACAAAGCUCUGCUUCACUGGGAGAAAGGUGGUGCAGAGGCAUGCUUCCAGAGCGAAUCAAAGGUGCUCCAGGUCUUCCUGCCUACCUUCAUUUCAAGGAAAAGCUAUAAAAUGGCUGAUCCUGGGAUUCACUCGAAAUCACAAAGUCAUGGAAUAAUGUUGGUUGGAAGAAACCCCUGGAGGUCCAAGACAUAGGUCUUGCUCAAAGGUCAGUCCAGUUCAUGUAACUAGCGUUUUCAGCAUGAGCUCGGGAGCGAAAUCCAUGCUGGAAUGCCAACAACUUCAACAUGUCCUGCAGGGUGAGAGGUGGCCCAUAGCCUCCUGUGCUUGCCCUCAGUCCCGUUUCCUUCCCUGCGCAGCCUGGGACUGGUUGUCACUUGUGGCUGUUUUCACUGGGGUAUGGAGAACAAAGACUGCGAUGCACUUACUUAACGUUGAUUUAAACACGAUCUAUAGUUUGUGGUUGUUCUCAGUUUGCCUGCAGCGUGGUCAUUUCUGUCACAGCACAUCCAGUGCUGGCUCCUGUGGCUCCACAUGAGCUGGGACCAGUUCAGCAAAGAGCUUCCGGUCUCCUGAUGUGCAGUGGCCAUCACCCCACGACCAGACCCCUGCAGUCAGCCUUCUUGCAUGGAGAAGCCUCUCCACGUUUGGCUCGUGUUCCCAGUGCCGGGCUCAGGAUGCGCAGAGCCGACACCGGGAGCAGCUGUUCCACUUUGUGGAAACUUUCUUGCCUUUUUAAGGCCGUGUUGAGUGCUCUGCUCUAACUUUAGCACAAAGGUUACCCUAAAGGAGCAGGUAAUGCUGAACAAGGCGCUCUGAGUGACUGCGGGAGCUGGGAUUAGGUGCUGGUUCCUCACGCUGUGCUUUUCUGCACCCGCUGGAUGGUGAUAAGCUGCUCUAAAAGGCUUUCUGGGUGCAUGAGCUCUCCCAGUCCCACAGCUGUAAUUUGGAGCAGAGCAAUUAAAGCUUUGGCUUACAAUAAAGCUGGCACCUCUCUCCUCCCUCAAUGUUCUCUGUAGAUUUGCAUCCCCUAUCACGUGCAGCAUCUCUCACAAUGGUGUGGCUGUCCUGCAAGCCAGGUUCUGCGGGCACACUGAUAAAUCAUCUCGCUUUGGACACAGUAGAGCUCUCCUUGCCCUGCUUGCCCAAUGCCCCCAGCUGGCACUGCUGUUUGGCCAGUGCUCAGACCUAGGAGCUCAUAUGCUUGCAUGUCAGUGCUUGUUUCUGGGGCCGUCCUGUAUGCAGUGCCUGAAAUAUUAAUACCAGCAUGCGCAAUGUGCUUUGGGGGAAGCAUCCAUAGCUUUGUUCUCAGGCUGGAAAUCCCUCUCUCCAAAGGGAGCCAGCAGCUCCCCUGCUUUGUUUCCCUAGGAGAGCUGAUUUUCUCCUCCAUGCUUGCAGAAACAUCACUGGCUGCUGCUGCCACCACACCACAGCCAGCUCGGCACAAGCUGGAGGCCAGUGGUGGCCAGAGGGUGGCCAAGGUGACGGGAGCAAUGCCUGGGGUCUUCGUGGUCAUCCUGGUGAUGCGGUUUGUAUGGAUCUCCUUCGGAUACAUUUCUCUAAGCUCUCAGGUUAGCAAAUUCCCCCAGGAAUGCUACGAGCUUCAUUAGAGCUUCUGCUAAAUCACUGGCCAACAUCAUCACAAUGUAUCUUGAAACCUUUUGGACCUGGUGGCUUAGGGAUGCUGUUUGUGGAGCUACUGGGAUGAUCCCACAGGGAAAAUGCUGCUGGUGUAGCACGACGGAGCACCUUCAGCCACAGAGGCUGCCGAGUGGAGAAGGUCUCACCAAAACCCUGAUGAGGGGAAAGCAGGGAAGGAAAGGGAAGAGCAAGAUCGGCAGAGGCUGGCACAGAGCCCUGACUGUUCAUGGUGGAGGGCUCGCCCUGGGAAAGGCUGCGUAGUGCAGGGUGUAUGGACCGUGGCAAGGGAAAGGUAUGUGGACCUGCAGCUGGUAGAUUAUCCCCUCUACUGCACAGGGUUGACAGCUGGUCCAUGCCUCCUUCCUGUGUAGAUGUGAGGACAACUGGAAGGAUGUAUGGAAGAGAUCAGUUGCUGCCAGAGCAGCUUGUGGUGGCCACAGCCUGUCCAGGCUUGUGGAAAUGAGCUGAAGCUGGACAUCUCUCUGGGGCGAGAUGGCCUGGAGGAAGGUCACUGGUUUGAAGAGCUGGUGCUUCACCUGGUUCUCUGACUAAUUCACUCAGAGCUCCAAACAUGACCAGACACCAUCUUAAUCACAGUCCCAUUCCCAUGGCACAGCAUCCAGUGCCUGUCUGGUGUGGCUUUUCGGCAUACCCCACACAAAGAUGAAAUGGUGGACAUCUGCAGAAAGAGCAGGAGGGAAAAAUGUGUGGAAAGGGGAAUCUCCAGGAGGAAGAAACAUUCCUAGAGGAGGAAGUGAAGCAACGGGAACGGCUCUGCUACACUCGCCAGGCAACGAAGUGCCUUUCGCACAAAAUCACGGUCGAGACUGGCGCCGACUCUCCCUCUUGUGGACAAUCGCCUCUAUUUUGUGUAGUGUCUGGUGGCUGCCGCUAGCAGCCUUGAAACUCGGAUGGUUUUGCUGUGAGCUGAAAUGAGAUGGUUGGACGUGAUGGUUCACAAUAACUCCUGUAUUAAAUAUCCCUGUGAAUUAGGCUAAGAGAUUGGGUUGAUCUGCAGAGCCGGUACCUGGAGUGCCCCUGACAUCAGGCUCAUCACUCAGCAAAUGAGAGGCACAUAGAACCACAGAAUGGUUUGGGUUGGAAGGGACCUUAAAGCUCACCCAGUUCCAGCCCCCUGCCAUAGGCAGGGACACCUUCCACUAGAGCAGGUUGUUCCAAGCCCCGUCCAACCUGGUCAUCUCUGCCAGUA